GAUGAAGAACGUAGCGAAAUGCGAUAAGUAAUGUGAAUUGCAGAAUUCAGUGAAUCAUCGAAUCUUUGAACGCACAUUGCGCCCGCCAGUAUUCUGGCGGGCAUGCCUGUUCGAGCGUCAUUACAACCCUCAGGCCCCCGGGCCUGGCGUUGGGGAUCGGCGGAAGCCCCCUGCGGGCACAACGCCGUCCCCCAAAUACAGUGGCGGUCCCGCCGCAGCUUCCAUUGCGUAGUAGCUAACACCUCGCAACUGGAGAGCGGCGCGGCCACGCCGUAAAACACCCAACUUCUGAAUGUUGACCUCGAAUCAGGUAGGAAUACCCGCUGAACUUAAGCAUAUCAAUAAGCGGAGG
Molecule: unclassified non-coding RNA, 352 nt
Filed under: soil metagenome
Description: partial contains 5.8S ribosomal RNA, internal transcribed spacer 2, and large subunit ribosomal RNA
Rfam family: 5.8S ribosomal RNA (bases 1-120)
Source: RNAcentral